UUGGGCCGAGCAGGUCACCCAGCAGGUCACCCGGCCCCUCCCCGGUUCCCAACAAGUGGGGGCCCCAGCCCUGACCCCGGGGAUGGUCUGAGGGUUGUUCCCUUCCCGUGUGAUGCCAGGGGCUGGGCCUGCACCUCCCUGUCCUGGGUCCGCAUGGAGUCCAUUCGCCAGUGGGACCCUGGGCUGUCCUGUCUCUGGGUGACUGUGGGCCUCUGGGGGUCCUUGGCUCCACCUGCCAGGUCCCCAACUAGAGUCAGGGCCUUCGGGCCAGGCCUGGCCCCACAGUCAGCGUUUCCUGGGAGAGGGCUGGCGGCUGAGCAGGGGGCUUCUAGGGCCUUGAGGGUACAGAUGGCAUCUGAGGGCGCCUGGCCCUCCCCACACAGGGAUCUGGAUCCCGAGGAGCUGUGGUCUGCCCUUCCCGAGACCCCAGCAGGGCUGGAGGGCCGUCGGGCACCUCUGGGGAUAGACGCCUGGGCAUGUCCACUUCCUCUCAGAGCCCAGCCUGGUCAGUGGAGGGACAACAGGAAAUGGCCCGCUUCUGACCUGCCAGGGGCCGGAUCCGCCCAGCGGGACCAGAGAGCCUCCCUGGGAGGUAAUGAGCGUCAGGUGGGAGGUUGGUGUCUUAAGGGACACACCCCUACAGGCAGGAUUUCCUGGGGCCCUGGCCUUACUGGGGGAGGUGCCUUACUGGGGGAGGUGGGCAGCGAGAUAGCCCCGCCGGACAUGCUUGGCCUCGCCAGUUGAAGCCCAGCCUGCCGCAUGCUCUGACUCAAGGCUCUUCCCCUCAGGAAAUGCACGCACAUGGGCCCUGAGAGAUGUGUACAAACAAAUUCGUGACAGCGCCACGCGCCAGCCAAAAGUGAGAGACAGCCCAACUGUCCCUCCCUAGGAAAUGGGUAAAUAAACCACGGUGUGUGUAGACAAACAGCACUCAGCAAGGAAAACAGAGGCUCUCUCGUGAUGUCGACACAUGAUGAACGUCAGACUUAACCUGCAGAAGAGGCUGCGUCUCAGGAGAAGCCGAGAGGCAAGGUGCCACCAGCUCGAAUCUGGAAAGCAGGCAGGCAGCCCUGGGAACAAAGAGGUGGGGGAAUGAAAGGAAAAGGGGGCCGGGGGCUGAACAGGCUGGUUCUGGGGAGAUGAGGAUAUGGGGCUGGGUCCAGAUGAUGGCAAAGUCUUUCCUCUCAAUCCAGGUAGUGGGCGGGGAAUGCCGAUUUCACUUUCAUUGUCUCUAAAAUAAACUAUCCCCAUGUUAUAACCUCCCUCUGUCUGACACCUGGGAUAACACAUACAGAAUGGCUUCCCAGGGGCCACCACGGCCUUUGCACACAUUAUCCCCACUUAAUCCUCUCCAUCCAUAUGGAACCACCUUCCCUGUUGCCCCCAUGAAAGAUGGUCCCUUGGGUGGCCGCUGGGGGACCCGGCUCAGGGUCAGUGACGACUUUUCCCUACACCCCUGUUGCACCUGUGUGGAGCCAAGUGGUCAAGGUCAGGCCAGUGGAACGUGGGGCCCAUAAACCCUCCACCCCCCCCCCCCCCCCCCCCCCCCCCACAUUCCCUUCCUGUGCUGACUGGGUGUGGACACUGAGGCCCAGAAACCACCUGGGGAAGAGCCUGUGUCAGAGCUUCUGUGAACCUGAGUCCCUGCUCAGCUACCUGGCCCAGAAAACCAGGCCCCCCGCCCCCAUGGUCAUUAGAAGUUACUGAAUAAGAAUAGGAAGUGAACUCUCAUUGUCUUGAGCCACUGAGAUCUGGCCUUCACGUGUGACAGCCGGGUCAGCAGACUCUGGCCCAGGAGCUGCGUCUGUUUCCUGCUUCUCCAUGUAAGGCUGGGGUGGUUUCUGCUGUGCCGAAGCUGGGCUGGCCUCCCGUCUCCACACACCUCCUGGUUCUGGGGUUGACUUCUUAGUUCAUGGUCCUGUGGGCCAGACAACUCACCCAGGGGUAAUAACCAUGGGCUUGUAAAGUCAUAGGAUUCUGCGGGCUGGGCGGGACCACAGAGAGUCCUUGCUCCAUCGCCUUGUUGGACGCAGGGAAAGACUGGCCCAGGGUGAGCAGGUGGGCCAGUCUCAAAGCAACUUCAUGAUGGGAGGUCUGGAAGCUGAGCCCUGGCGUCCCCUGGAGGCCCGGCCACCUCUCUCCACUCUGGGUCUGAGGCGCUGUUCCCUGCCCUGGAUCCAGGAGGUUAGCUGGAGGGUGGGAGGCCUCCAGAUUGGUUUGCAGGUCAAGCACGUCUAGGGCCCCCACCUGCUUUGCUGGGGCUCUUUGUUCUCCGUGUCAGGUGGUGUGGAGCAAAAGCCCAGGUCAGAGGAAGCCAUGUCCACUGACCAUCUGCUAUUUUACCCUGUCUGUUCUUUCCUCUGCUGGGAGGGUGAAGGGCAGGCCUGAAUGCAGGCAUCCCUGGAUGCUCCAGUGAAAGCCGCCCCACAACGAGCCUGCUCUCUGUGGCCCUGAGCUCGCCAAGCCCUCUUCCCAUUUUCUGUUGGAGAUGCUGAUGGGAUUCCCCUCGCUUUGUUGAUGCGAGGAUGUCUCCACAAACUUCCUGGUCUGUCUCGCUAUCUUCCCUGGUAAAGACUGCUAAUGAUGAGUGAAAGCCUCUUCUGAUACUGACUUCUUGACAAACUUAACCUCUGGGAAAAUGACCCAGCCUCAGCUUUCCGUCUGGUGGCCAGGGCGGUCCAUCCCUGCACGCCUGGACGCAGGAGUCUGUUUUCCUCAUUUUGUUG
This 2726-nucleotide long non-coding RNA is filed under the name Cervus hanglu yarkandensis (Yarkand deer). Its description in RNAcentral is "lncRNA (ENSCHYG00000012889.1)". The record is from RNAcentral. Lineage: Eukaryota; Metazoa; Chordata; Mammalia; Artiodactyla; Cervidae.